CCCUGACAGCCACAUGACGUGGUUGACCUUAACCCAGACAGGAGAAUCUCAUG
Molecule: non-coding RNA, 53 nt
Filed under: unclassified sequences
Description: Mu-gpT-DE RNA
Rfam family: Mu-gpT-DE RNA
Source: Rfam by way of RNAcentral